UUUAAAUUUACAUUUUUUUAACACUCUGCAGGGGGAUAUUAAUUUACAAGUUAAAACCUAUGGUAAAUGACGGUGCCUCAAUUUCUCUACAACUCACAAAUCUGCUGCAAUAGCUAACAGAAGGCAAGAACCUUCAACUGAACCUCUUUCAGUGCUGGGGAAGACGAGGCAGCAGUGUCAGCUUGGGGAGGAAGAUCUUCAGCUGAGCACGUAUCAACAUAUAUCAGCAGCCAAUACUGCAAGGAAUGGAGGGAGUACUACAAGAACAAGCUAAGUCAGAGAGAAUCCCUCAAAGACCCACAGAAAAUCGCACACAUUGUAGGAAGGGACUGACAUGGGGAUUCCAACCAAGACAAACUAACAAAAGUCAUGUGAAAGAACACUUGCAGGUAUGAGAAAAUUGUUUUUAGUUGUUAAAACCUCAUAAAGCCACAUAAAUUUUUGCCACUUCAAAAUCUGACAGUAAUUCCAACAUGUAGGCUAGGCAUAACCAUGUAAUGCACAGAUAGCACAAACAAGACUAAUAACGGGUCAUUGACAAGUAGGCCCUACCAUACGAAGCAAUUAUACUGCUCUAAAACAGAAAUCUCGCUGUGCAUCCGAGCAAGUUGGCUAUUCUUGGAUUAAGAGAAAGCUAGGAGUAGUGAGAGUUGAAACAGUCAAUUUUGCAUGUGAUCCAGUGUGAUGUUUUUUAUUGAAGACAAAAAGGCACACAAACGAUUCAUUGGAGACAAGCAUGGUUCAUGUUCACCAUGGCAACCAAUGUAAUAGAUAAACUAUCGUACAAAUUUCGGCGCAAUUCCACAACAACUAAAAAGACGCCUAAGCCAAUUUGUACCCACAAACAUUGUCAGUAAUCCUUCUGAUACUGGAAUGCAAGCUGUUCAGAUUGGUUUUGACAGUCCCAA
Triticum aestivum (bread wheat) is the source of this 908-nucleotide long non-coding RNA. RefSeq lists it as uncharacterized. NCBI's taxonomy places the organism in Eukaryota, Viridiplantae, Streptophyta, Magnoliopsida, Poales, Poaceae. The transcript has 2 exons. The record is from RefSeq and is a predicted model, not a curated record.